RNAcentral lists this ribosomal RNA (429 nucleotides) under Bacillota bacterium. RNAcentral describes it as "Firmicutes bacterium partial 16S ribosomal RNA". It matches the Rfam family "Bacterial small subunit ribosomal RNA", at positions 355 to 776 of the family's 1533-position model. The record is from RNAcentral. Lineage: Bacteria; Bacillati; Bacillota.
UAGGGAAUCUUCCGCAAUGGACGAAAGUCUGACGGAGCAACGCCGCGUGAGUGAUGAAGGUUUUCGGAUCGUAAAACUCUGUUGUUAGGGAAGAACAAGUUGGGUAGUAACUGACCCAACCUUGACGGUACCUAACCAGAAAGGCACGGCUAACUACGUGCCAGCAGCCGCGGUAAUACGUAGGUGGCAAGCGUUGUCCGGAAUUAUUGGGCGUAAAGCGCUCGCAGGCGGUCUUUUAAGUCUGAUGUGAAAGCCCACGGCUUAACCGUGGAGGGUCAUUGGAAACUGGAGGACUUGAGUACAGAAGAGGAGAGUGGAAUUCCACGUGUAGCGGUGAAAUGCGUAGAGAUGUGGAGGAACACCAGUGGCGAAGGCGACUCUCUGGUCUGUAACUGACGCUGAGGAGCGAAAGCGUGGGUAGCGAACAGG